CACUGCCCGUCACAUUAUGGGAGCUAGUCAUAUUUGAAAUCGUUACCUUAACCGUAAGGAGAGGAAUGUCAAAUAUAGAGCUAAUAAUUGGAGUGAAGUCAUAACAAGGUAGCCGUAUUAGAAGGUGCGAUUG
RNAcentral lists this non-coding RNA (133 nucleotides) under Vitis vinifera (wine grape). Its description in RNAcentral is "Bacterial small subunit ribosomal RNA". It matches the Rfam family "Bacterial small subunit ribosomal RNA", at positions 1388 to 1520 of the family's 1533-position model. Lineage: Eukaryota; Viridiplantae; Streptophyta; Magnoliopsida; Vitales; Vitaceae. The record is from Rfam by way of RNAcentral.